Molecule: ribosomal RNA, 492 nt
Filed under: uncultured bacterium
Lineage: Bacteria
Description: partial 16S ribosomal RNA
Rfam family: Bacterial small subunit ribosomal RNA
Source: RNAcentral
AGUGAACGCUGGCGGUAGGCCUAACACAUGCAAGUCGAACGGCAGCACAGUAAGAGCUUGCCCUUACGGGUGGCGAGUGGCGGGCGGGUGAGGCAUACAUCGGAACCUACUUUUUCGCGGGGGAUAACGUAGGGAACCAUACCCUAAUACCGCAUACGACCUAUCGGUGAAAGCAGGGGAUCUUAGGUUCUUGCUCGAUUGACUGAGCCGUUGCCGGAUUAUCUAGUUGGCGGGGUAAAGGCCCACCAAGGCGACGAUCCGUAGCUGGUCUGAGAGGAUGAUCAGCCACACUGGAACUGAGACACGGUCCAGACUCCUACGGGAGGCAGCAGUGGGGAAUAUUGGACAAUGGGCGAAAGCCUGAUCGAGCAAUACCGCGUGAGUGAAGAAGGCCUUCGGUUCGUAAAGCUCUUUUGUUGGGGAAGAAAAGCAGCGGAUUAAUACCCCGCUGUUCUGACGGUACCCAAAGAAUAAGCAACGGCUAACUACGUG